Molecule: ribosomal RNA, 497 nt
Filed under: uncultured bacterium
Lineage: Bacteria
Description: partial 16S ribosomal RNA
Rfam family: Bacterial small subunit ribosomal RNA
Source: RNAcentral
GAUGAACGCUGGCGGCGUGCCUAAUACAUGCAAGUCGAGCGAACAGAUGAGGAGCUUGCUUCUCUGACGUUAGCGGCGGACGGGUGAGUAACACGUGGAUAACCUACCUAUAAGACUGGGAUAACUUCGGGAAACCGGAGCUAAUACCGGAUAAUAUAUUGAACCGCAUGGUUCAAUAGUGAAAGACGGUCUUGCUGUCACUUAUAGAUGGAUCCGCGCCGCAUUAGCUAGUUGGUAAGGUAACGGCUUACCAAGGCAACGAUGCGUAGCCGACCUGAGAGGGUGAUCGGCCACACUGGAACUGAGACACGGUCCAGACUCCUACGGGAGGCAGCAGUAGGGAAUCUUCCGCAAUGGGCGAAAGCCUGACGGAGCAACGCCGCGUGAGUGAUGAAGGUCUUCGGAUCGUAAAACUCUGUUAUUAGGGAAGAACAAAUGUGUAAGUAACUGUGCACGUCUUGACGGUACCUAAUCAGAAAGCCACGGCUAACUACGUG